GUCGGGAGCUCCACACAAGAGACAAGCUAACAUAUGUCCUUGAUUGUGAUAACUUAAGACAUGGCCUGAACAAGGGUUCUUGCCAUUAAAGCUGAAGAUCGUGCUAAAAAUAUAAGGAGAGGUGGUAACUAUCUGGCGAAGACAGACAUGUCUAUCAUAUUUAAUGGGACUCCCAUGAAAGUCUGAUCCAUCAUAAAUACUUGGGAUAUUUGGGUCUAAAAGGUUUAUGCUAUUAUCAGUGUCCUUGUGGCUAGCAGUGGAGAUGGAGAUCUCAAAGAAAGAACGUGGAGGUGAAUGAUUGAGAAAAUGUCAUCAUAUGAUGGAUGAGUGAUUAUUGGAAGUUAAUCAUUUGCAGAUGGAUGGAGACUAUUGGAUGUUAUCAAAUUGGCCAUUGAAUUCAGGGAAACCAUGCUGAAACUUGGAUGACACAAUUUCUAAACUAUAUGCUGAGAGCAUGCAUAAUACUGAAAAGUGUUUGACAAAUUUGUUAAGUAUGGUGUUCUUUUAUUGAACUAGGUAGUACAAGAAGGUAUGAACGAAGUGCUAGGACUUCUAACAUUAUCAUUUACCUAAACCAAAUAUUGAUCUUUGACUUCUGA
This is a long non-coding RNA of Sorghum bicolor (sorghum), 599 nucleotides long. RefSeq lists it as uncharacterized. NCBI's taxonomy places the organism in Eukaryota, Viridiplantae, Streptophyta, Magnoliopsida, Poales, Poaceae. The transcript is spliced from 3 exons. The record is from RefSeq and is a predicted model, not a curated record.